GGAGAGAUGCCCGAGUGGUCGAAGGGGGCGGUCUUGAAAACCGCUGAACGCAAGUUCCGGGGGUUCGAAUCCCUCUCUCUCCG
This 83-nucleotide transfer RNA is filed under the name Candidatus Tectimicrobiota bacterium. RNAcentral describes it as "Candidatus Tectomicrobia bacterium tRNA-Ser". It matches the Rfam family "tRNA". Rfam says of the family: Transfer RNA (tRNA) molecules are approximately 80 nucleotides in length. The record is from RNAcentral. Lineage: Bacteria; Pseudomonadati; Candidatus Tectimicrobiota.